UGGGGAAUUUUGGACGAAUUGGGCGAAAGCCUGAUCCAGCAAUGCCGCGUGUGUGAAGAAGGCCUUCGGGUUGUAAAGCACUUUUGUCCGGAAAGAAAUCCUUGGCUCUAAUACAGUCGGGGGAUGACGGUACCGGAAGAAUAAGCACCGGCUAACUACGUGCCAGCAGCCGCGGUAAUACGUAGGGUGCAAGCGUUAAUCGGAAUUACUGGGCGUAAAGCGUGCGCAGGCGGUUUGCUAAGACCGAUGUGAAAUCCCCGGGCUCAACCUGGGAACUGCAUUGGUGACUGGCAGGCUAGAGUAUGGCAGAGGGGGGUAGAAUUCCCACGUGUAGCAGUGAAAUGCGUAGAGAUGUGGAGGAAUACCGAUGGCG
RNAcentral lists this ribosomal RNA (373 nucleotides) under uncultured bacterium. Its description in RNAcentral is "partial 16S ribosomal RNA". It matches the Rfam family "Bacterial small subunit ribosomal RNA", at positions 355 to 717 of the family's 1533-position model. The record is from RNAcentral.